CAGGCACCUGUUCAGGUUCCAUACCAAACACCAGUUCAGGUUCCAUACCAAACACCAGUUGGGGUUCCAUUCCAGACACCAGUUAAAAUUCUACCCCAGCCACCAGCUCAGCUCCCAUACCAAACACAGGUUCAGGUUCCACACCAGGAACCAGUUCAGGUUC
Molecule: long non-coding RNA, 163 nt
Organism: Spea bombifrons (plains spadefoot toad)
Lineage: Eukaryota; Metazoa; Chordata; Amphibia; Anura; Pelobatidae
Exons: 3
Source: RefSeq, a predicted model, not a curated record